AUGGUCCAGACAGAAGGAGGAAGGGCAGAGCAAUCUUGCGGAAUGCGACCGCAUUGGCUUGGUGCCUGGCAGGGGAUUUCCUUCAGCAGAAACUCACCAGGAAGCAUGACCGAAUGCCCAGAGCUCAGGGAAAGGCUGGCCUUUCCUUCUCGAAAACCCUAUCCAACAACUGAAGGAGGAAAUGGACGCCUCCCGCUACAGGUGGCAAAUUGGGCUGAUGCGGGAGCCACAGAGGAAGGGUUUACCCUGCACAGAGAGCAUCUUCUGAAUCAGCCUUUUGUGAAGCAUAAUCCAAGGACCCCUGGAAAUUCCCAAGACUCUCAGAGAUUCUGCAAGACCCUCCUUUACACAAUUACAUAUCUGUGCGAGGUGGAAUUUUCUUCACGUGCUUCAACCAAACAACAUAUUGUAGCAUUCUGAGGGCAGAAGCAGGUUCAGUGAUACAGCUAUCUUCUGGGCAACCAGAUUUUAAAGAGAUUUGCAAAAAUAAAACAAUGCCCCUUCUCACUAUUUUUGGGAAAUACAGUUUUUCUUUCAAUACAUUUUUAUAUUAACAUGUAAUGGGUUUAAUUAUGGUUAUUUUAAAUGAACUAAUACAUAUUUAAAUAAUUCUUUUAGCUUUAAUUUUUAAUACAGUAAAUAUAAUGGAUAAAACCUAUGUAAACAAAAUUACUUUGGUGUCCUCGAUAACUUUUAAAUGUGUAAAGAAGUUUUGAAAACAACUAUCCUAGUUAUCUCUUCCAGUGCAUUGAUGGAUAUUUUUGUGCCUUAAAAAUUAAUGAUUUUUUUGAAGCAUCUUAAAUGUCCCUCAACUAUACUGGAUAAUAAAUCAUGAUAUAUUCAUACAGUGAAAUACUAUACAGCAAUGAAUAUGAAUAAGCUACACACAAUUAUAUGUUGAGUGAAAGAAGUCAGGCAUAAGAGCAUACAUAUUCUAGUUUUAAAAACUGGCAUACUAGAGUGUUCUUCUGUUCAGGCAAUCUGGGACAUUUUAAUCAUCUGGUUCUUAAUUUCCUUCUUGACCAUAAAGGAGGGUAAAUAGUGCCCUAGGUGUGCUGUGGGGUUAAAUGAAAUG
This 1075-nucleotide long non-coding RNA is filed under the name Capra hircus (goat). RNAcentral describes it as "lncRNA (ENSCHIG00010013390.1)". The record is from RNAcentral. Lineage: Eukaryota; Metazoa; Chordata; Mammalia; Artiodactyla; Bovidae.